ACAAUUAAGACUAAUUGCCAAACCUCACAAUUCAAAUUAUGGAAAGGGAUACCGUAACCAUAAUCGAAUUCGAGAAUGCAAUUUUACAAUCACUAUCUUCUUAAAAUCUUUCUUAGUGAAAGCAUUUCCUCACAAUCAUUUUCAUGAAGGAGGAAAUCUUAUGACACUUAGAUUUAAACGGUGUAUGUGUUCCUAUCCAUGUGAAUUUGUUAAAACCAAAGUUUACGACAAAUUCAAACUCAUAUGGACCGAACUUUCUUAAUCUUGAUUUCUUGCCUUAUGGUAACACAGCUGCCCACCAUGUCUUCCAAGUAGUUAAGCAGCUCACCUUUUCUUAUCAAUGUACUUUCCAUUGAUCAAGGUCCUUGCCUUUUAUGCAUUCAAAUGAGAACUCAUAGAACUCACAUGCAUAAUUAACUCGAUUGGAUUGGCACAGAAACAAAAUAAUGUCAACACGAUAGGUUGUAAACCUCAACUCGUGUGCUAGUGAUGAUCGAUAAGGUUUUUUUGAUUUGUUCUUGAAACCUUUCAAGACCAUUAAGACUCCCACUGACUCCUUGACAUAUAAGAUUCUCUUGUCAAUAAACAUUUCUUGACAAACAAAUAUUCAAGAGUUAGUGUAGCUUUUAUCAAAACACUUCAUAAAUUGGUCCUAGUUGGUCUUUGUCUUAUCCAAGACAUCACAACUUUCCACAUUUGAUGAAUGUUAUAAACCUUCUUAAUACUUAUCACUCAAUGUCACAAUCUUAACUCUAAGACUUGUUUUGGAACGAAGUAUGAUUGACUUCUUGAUUUAACCAUUUCUUCAAUUCUUGAUUCCUCUUCUUAGACAUACAAUUGUACUAAGACUCACUUAGAGGAUCAAUUGAGAUAUGGUUCUUAAUCAUUAAGACCUAUCAUAAAGCAUAAAAGGUACUCUCCCUUCUUCUUAGAAUGGAGAAACUUUUAUCUUUCUGCCUACUUGAUUCUUCUUAUUCGUUCUGCUAUUGAUUUAAACUUUUUCAAUCAAUUCAGAAUUACACUUAAUCUUAUAAGUAUAAUCAUAUUUACUAAACCUUUAGUAAAUCAUGACGAAUAUCUUUGUUACUCUUAUGGUGGACUUGAUCAACACGCAACUUUGUGUACUCGAUCUCCUAGUCCUUCACUUGACACUUUGUCAAUGAAUUAGUCUAAUUUCCAAAUAUGAAAUUUCUCAUUCAUCGUGCAACCAAGUUGCAUGAUUCCAAGUUUCUGUCCAAUUGAAACUUGGGCGAUGAGAAACUCUCCCUAUUUGGUAAACUCUCGACUUUCCAUAAAUAACAUAAUAAGAACCAAAUCCAUUAUUGCUAAUAAUAGAAACAUUCAAACAUCAAUUUUUCAUAUACGCCAUUGCAAGGAUAAAUAAAUAAUAUAAAAUCAAAAUUUAUUUUAUUGCGGAAAAAAUUUGUCCUUACAAUGCAAUUCAUUGAAAAACUAUGCUAAUACAUCUUUCUUAGCAAUCUAAUUCUAACUCUAAGUAGUAGCUCAAGAAUCUAAUCUUCGAGAAAUGCGAUCGAAAUCCAUUCCUUCACGGUUAGAUUCUGCUCACUUCUUCCCUUAAGCUUCCUUUCUUUUCUUCGAUCCUACAAAACAUCAAUUGUAAUCUUAUCACAUUAUGUAUUAAGAAUCUAGAAUAGAAGCUUAAAAGAGUUAGUUAAUGGAUUUUACCUAUAUUAGAGCCAUACGUUUCGACUCUCCCAUCUCUUAGAUCUCUUAGGUAAAUGGGGCAGCUUCGUCUCCAAUGCCCUUUCUCUUGGCAAUAAAAGCAAAUUGACUCUUUUGGAACAUGACAUGGAACUACUUCAGACAUUGCCUUUCUCUUAUGAUCAAACUUUUCGAUCAUAGCAUGUCUUUCGUUGCCAUUGUCUAUAUCCAUAGAGGUCUUGAAGGCAGAUUCACCAAUCAACUUUGCUUUUCUAUUGCGCCAAACCAUUGCUGAUUCAGCAGCAAUAAGCAUAUAGGUGAGAUCUAUAAGGGUCACGUCGCGGUUCAUCAUAUAGUACUCUCUUACGAACUCACUAUAUGAGUUAGGAAGUGACUGAAGAACCCAAUCAACAGCCAUUUCCUCACAGACAACGGAUCCCAACAUUCUUAACCUAUCAAUGUGUGACUUCAUCCCUAGGACGUGUGCACACACCGACUUUCCUUCUUUAUGUUUACUUGCCAAAAGGGCUUGAGUGAUCUUGAACUUUUCAAGCCUUUGAACUUGUGGGUUAGGGAGAAUAAUUGGAGGAGGAGGAGGAAGUGAAGCAUGAUUUCUUGUUCCUCGAUCGAAUCGUGGAAUAUCAUCUUCAUGUGGAAUGCUUGUUCCACGGGAUUUGGGAAGACCAUAGUUGUCGAACUUUGACAUCUACAAAACGGGAGAAAACGAAUUCAAGUUAGUUGAUUGAUUGAGUCCUUAGUAAAUCACCCAAAUGAGAUACUAAGGCUAGGACCCAACACAAUAUUCUACAACUCGGGAGAGGGAUGCCGUAACCCUAAUUGCAGAAUAUUUGAAGGUAAGUGAAUGACGAUUCACUAAUUUCCACCAUGAAAAACGAAAAAGAAAUUUAAGUUUUAAAUCUAUGAAAACUCCUAGAUCCUUUGAGAUUCAUUGAACUUUCAAUGGCAUGUUUAAAUCUCGAUAUGCCCCUCUUGUUUGUGACUGGGAUGCCGAGGAUCACAAAGCGGGUGUGAAUAACCAUGCAAACUUACAUGGUGCCCUCACAUGUUACAGUCACCUAUUCGAUGUGCCGGUAAACCACACACGCUCCACCGAACUAUGACAAACAUUGAGUCACCCUUUGCUACCUUUGCUUAGAACCAUUUAGUGUGCCGGUAAACCACACACGCUCCACUAACGUCUUCGCAAGGGCACAAAGUGUAAUUUCAUGGAAUUGCAUCAAUUCACUUUUGCCUAAGUAACUAAGAUUGGGAAUUUUAUGAAAACAUUUAGUUACUUUAAUAAUUCAUUAUACUUAUAAUGGAAGGUUUCGUCCUAUCCUACCCGUUCGGCUAACGACCCUCCACUAGUCAAGAGUGCGGUGGGUAAGAGUGGAUACCCAUUCAAUCGCCAUUUUAUAGGCAAUUUCCUUAAACACCCCUUAUAGACCAGCUUCGUGAAUGAGGCCUACUAACGGUAAGACUGACUUUUACUCAUACAUAUAUAUAAUGUUAGACUUUUAAUGUUAUAUAUAGUAUAGGGUGUAUUUUAUACUUUUAAAAUACUAGGUGGUCUAAUUUAACAAUUAUACUUUUAAUUCAAUUAAAUUGUAAACCUAAACUUUUAUGGAUUUAUUAAACCUCUUUUAAUUAUACACCUUAAUUAAUUAAUAAAACCAUAAGGGUGUGAUUUGAACUUUUUCAAAACUAUACUAGAGUUUUAGAAUUUAACAUUCCUAAUUAAACUUUUAAUCAACUUUUAAAUUCCAAAACUUGAGGGCAAGUUUUGAAACAUUUCAACACAUUAGGGUUUAGAAUUUAAAUAUGCAUCAAAAUUAAACUAUUUAAUCAAAAUUUAAAUUCCAAAACUUGAGGGCAAGUUUUGAAACCUUUUUCAAAACAUUAGGGUUUCAACUAUUUAAAUUUCAAAACAACAAAACUUUUGGGGUUCAAAUUUAAACUAUAAAACCUAAAGGGCCAAAUAUGAAACUUUUCACAACAACAAGGAUCAAAUAACAAAUAAUUCAAAUUAACAUUUAAUCACAUAAUUAUCCAUAUUUGAUGAUUUCUUGCAAAAUAAUUUAUCAAUUUACUUAAAAUAAUUAAUCAAUUAUCUUAUAAGGAAACAAUUAUCUUAUUAAUUGAUAAAUAUCUUCAAUUAGAUUAAAAAUAUAGUCAAAUAUAUCAUAUAAUCGGAUUAAUAUUAAUCUAACAUGAUAAGGUAAUUAUCCCAAUGCAAAAACAGCAAGAAAUCCCGAGAUAAGCACUGUCUGACGCACCGACUCGCCGAGUCACCCUCUGGAACUCGCCGAGUAGGGCUGACUCGCCGAGUCCAAGAGUGACUCGCCGAGUCAGGUCGAACAGUGAGGCCAAAACACGAUUUUCAGUUACAUCAAGCAUCAAUACAAUAGAAACCAAUCAAGGCUCUGAUACCACUGAUGGGUUUUGGUCAUAAGACAUCCUAUGUGCUCAUACAAACCCUAAAGCUUGGAUCUAGGUUUCUCUAUUGUACAUACUUUGAAUCCAAGACUUUGAACCCUAAUUCUAGCAUAUGGAAAUCAGAAUUCACAUGUAAUUAGGUUUAAGAACAUACCUUGAUUGUUAUAUAGCAAUAACAAUCCAAUUCCUCCUUGAAUUGACCUUGGAAAGCUGAGAGUCACAAGUGUCACUCCUCUAAUGGCUUACAAACACCAUAAGCAAGUGGAGAAGGUAUAAAGAGAGAGGAGGGAGGUUAGAAUUCGUCUCUAGGACUUCUUGGGAAGGGAUACACGAAUUCAUGACCCUAGGGGUGUUUAUAUAGGUGUAGAGAUAGGGUUUCAGUCAUUAUCCUUAUCUAGUUGCUUAUCCACCAAGCAACCAAUAAGAUAAUCCUUGAAUCCUUAUCAUACUCGAAUUCUAAGGGAUUUACACCUCAAAUUCGUUCACCAUAUAUAUAAGAUAAUCCUUACCUUAUUUUGUAACUAUCACAUAAUUACAAUUCAGCCCCUCUAGUUUAAUUAAUUACACUUGAUCACAAAAUUAAUUCUUAAUUAAUUAUUGACCAAUAUUAAUUAAACAAAUAUGAUUUCUCCUUUAAUAUAUUAUUCUUAUAACAUAUUAAUAAAUCAUAAUAACCUCUCUCUCUAUUUAUUUCUCCAAUCAAGUUGCUUUGGUGAAGGCAACCCAAAAGGACCAUGCACCAUCGGGUCAAGUACAUACCAAAAUAGUUAUGGACUUAGACACUAAUCCAACAGUCUCCCACUUGGAUAAGUCUAACAACUAUUCUGCGUAUGACUUCGGAUCCCGAUCUGCAAUCGUAGCUUUCCAAAGCCGCUGUCAACUCUGAUCAUAUCAGAUACGCGUGUCCUUAGAUAAGGGAUCAUAUAUUCCUCCAUUCUAGAUAUCAUAUGAGAUAUGAUUUCAAAUCAUUCUCUUUGUACUAUAUCUCGAUUUCCGAUUUAUGACGACUGACUAAUUGAACAAAUCAAAUUAGCCCUAGCCCGGCCGAGCAUUUACGUUUGUCAUCACUAAACCAUCGAGGGGCCCAAAGAUAUCGCUUUUAUCCUACUUUGGAUAAAAGGAACGGAUAAACUUUGAUACAAUGCUUGCUUGCACUCACUCACCGAAUCACACACAACAAUAUGUUUUAUAACACCAAGUUACUAGUGCGUUUACAUAUUAUCAAUGUGCAACCGAUUUGCAAGAUACAACUCACACAUCUCGGUUUCAAGAAUAUAAGAUGUUAUCGUCUCACCAAUCACUCGUGAUACAAUUCAUGGAGUGAUCCAAGUGAGCGUGGGUUUAAUCCAAUGCUCAAAUCAUAUUCAUAAGCACUCAUGAACGUUGCAGCAAACAUUUGCUUAUGUCUAAUACUCUUUUAGACAAUCCACACACCAAUUCACGACAGUCUUCAUUCAUAUCUACUUCCAACAUAUGAACGACUGUGGCCCGUUUGAAUAAUUCGAUUAUUCUUAAUAAACUCAAUUAUUCUGGAAGUCAAAACAUGCAAAUGUGAAACACAAGAAUAAUACUAAUCCCAUAUGGCCUCAAACCUUUGAGUAUAAAUAAAACACCUUUUAUUUAUCACCAUAUUGAUUACUCAUUAUUUGUCGUUUCGGGUAAUCAACUUCUUACUUGAAUUACAACACUUGUCCCAUGCUCCUAGCAUGCACACAAUGUUUACCUAUGGUUCUUACUUUGUGAAAUAGAUCACAUUGAACACAUUUCCAAUCCUUCUCAUUUCACAACUCCAAAUCCGUUUUUCAUAAGUGAAAGAAUAUCAAAUUCUUGUUACUUAUAGAAUAUGCUAGAUUCUAACAUUCUAUGCAACUAUCCUUUCGUAAUGUCACUGCACCAAAGUCACAAAGACUAUUGCCAAUGAUAUUACAAAGUCCUCUAUCGGAGAUUGUUACAAGACAAUUCCUUAGAUAUGAUGUCUCUCACUCAAAGUACAUUCCUUUGAACAUCCUUUUGCAUAAAAGUUUCUAAUCUAGACAUAGAUUUUCAAUAUUCAAUUCCCAAUAUGGACACGUUUCCAUAUUUUCCAUAUGACAACUCAUUCUUAAUAGAAUCUUAUCUAUUCGUAAUGAUGUCGAUAUGGUCCAUCCAAUAUGGAAACAUUUCCAUAAUUUCCAUAUGACAACUCAUUCUUAAUAGAAUCUUUUCUAUUCAUAAUAAUGUCGAUAUGGUCCAUCCAAUACCAUGCUUCCAACUACUCACAAGCGACCAAUCCUCGUCGAACUUUGGAUUGUCCUUUGAUAGUUGUUUAAUUAUUUUAGUCAAAACCGAUUCUAGUCCUUUUUCCCUCUAAAUGCGCUAGACAUUUGGAAAAUUUUAGAAUGGUCAAACAUUAAAGCAUUUGCAAUCGAUCCUAUACCCGAAGCGUAUGGGACACGACGCAUAAUGUUUUAUUUGCUAUGUUCUCAAAAUUCGAAUUGUGAAGAGGAAUGUCGUAAUCAUAAUCGAAAUUUUAAGAACACACUAUGUACCCUUGACUAAAUUUAUUAACAUUUCUCAACCUAAUCCUUUAGAUUUGAAAUGAAGCAUAAUAUUCUCUCCCUUAAUUAUAGCAAAACAACUUUACAACCCUUACGACUUUGCAAGGUAUAACUCUUGUUUUCUAUAAUUAAUAUUGCCAACUUGCAAUACGUGCCUUAAUAAUCAUACAAUCAUAACAUUUAUGCUCCCACUAUCAUGAUGAUUAUUAUAAAACAUAACACUUAUGCUCCCACUAGCUUCGACAUGUAUUCAGAAACAUCUUAACUUUCAGAAAAACAAUGCUUAUUGAAUUUCUUAAGUUCAUGUUUCUAAUACUUAGUGCUUUGAUAAUCUUUUAUCAAGGCUUCUUGAACUUAUACACCUUUGCCUUAGAUAGUUCAUAUGUGUGUCUAAACAAUUAAGACUAAUUGCCAAACCUCACAAUUCAAAUUAUGGAAAGGGAUACCGUAACCAUAAUCGAAUUCGAAGAAUGCAAUUUUACAAUCACUUUCUUUUUAAAUCUUUCUUAGUGAAAGCAUUUCCUCACAAUCAUUUUCAUGAAGGAGGAAAUCUUAUGACACUUAGAUUUAAACGGUGUAUUUGUUCCUAUCCAUGUGAAUUUGUUAAAAACAAAGUUUACGACAAAUUCAAACUCAUAUGGAUCGAACUUUCUUAAUCUCGAUUUCUUGCCUUAUGGUAGCACAGCUGCCCACCAUGUCUUCCAAGUAGUUAAGCAGCUCACCUUUUCUUAUCAAUGUACUUUCCAUUGAUCAAGG
This 7391-nucleotide long non-coding RNA is filed under the name Lactuca sativa (garden lettuce). RNAcentral's name for it is "long non-coding RNA (LSAT_LNC000872)". The record is from RNAcentral. Lineage: Eukaryota; Viridiplantae; Streptophyta; Magnoliopsida; Asterales; Asteraceae.